GAUGAACGCUGGCGGCGUGCCUAAUACAUGCAAGUCGAGCGAACGGACGAGAAGCUUGCUUCUCUGAUGUUAGCGGCGGACGGGUGAGUAACACGUGGAUAACCUACCUAUAAGACUGGGAUAACUUCGGGAAACCGUAGCUAAUACCGGAUAAUAUUUUGAACCGCAUGGUUCAAAAGUGAAAGACGGUCUUGCUGUCACUUAUAGAUGGAUCCGCGCUGCAUUAGCUAGUUGGUAAGGUAACGGCUUACCAAGGCAACGAUGCAUAGCCGACCUGAGAGGGUGAUCGGCCACACUGGAACUGAGCCACGGUCCAGACUCCUACGGGAGGCAGCAGUAGGGAAUCGUCCGCAAUGGGCGAAAGCCUGACGGAGCAACGCCGCGUGAGUGAUGAAGGUCUUCGGAUCGUAAAACUCUGUUAUUAGGGAAGAACAGAUGUGUAAGUAACUGUGCACAUCUUGACGGUACCUAAUCAGAAAGCAACGGCUAAUUACGUG
Molecule: ribosomal RNA, 497 nt
Filed under: uncultured bacterium
Lineage: Bacteria
Description: partial 16S ribosomal RNA
Rfam family: Bacterial small subunit ribosomal RNA
Source: RNAcentral